CUAACGUCCGUCGUGAAGAGGGAAACAACCCAGACCGCCAGCUAAGGUCCCAAAGUCAUGGUUAAGUGGGAAACGAUGUGGGAAGGCCCAGACAGCCAGGAUGUUGGCUUAGAAGCAGCCAUCAUUUAAAGAAAGCGUAAUAGCUCACUGGUCGAGUCGGCCUGCGCGGAAGAUGUAACGGGGCUAAACCAUGCACCGAAGCUGCGGCAGCGACGCUUAUGCGUUGUUGGGUAGGGGAGCGUUCUGUAAGCCUGUGAAGGUGUGCUGUGAGGCAUGCUGGAGGUAUCAGAAGUGCGAAUGCUGACAUAAGUAACGAUAAAGCGGGUGAAAAGCCCGCUCGCCGGAAGACCAAGGGUUCCUGUCCAACGUUAAUCGGGGCAGGGUGAGUCGACCCCUAAGGCGAGGCCGAAAGGCGUAGUCGAUGGGAAACAGGUUAAUAUUCCUGUACUUGGUGUUACUGCGAAGGGGGGACGGAGAAGGCUAUGUUGGCCGGGCGACGGUUGUCCCGGUUUAAGCGUGUAGGCUGGUUUUCCAGGCAAAUCCGGAAAAUCAAGGCUGAGGCGUGAUGACGAGGCACUACGGUGCUGAAGCAACAAAUGCCCUGCUUCCAGGAAAAGCCUCUAAGCAUCAGGUAACAUCAAAUCGUACCCCAAACCGACACAGGUGGUCAGGUAGAGAAUACCAAGGCGCUUGAGAGAACUCGGGUGAAGGAACUAGGCAAAAUGGUGCCGUAACUUCGGGAGAAGGCACGCUGAUAUGUAGGUGAAGUCCCUCGCGGAUGGAGCUGAAAUCAGUCGAAGAUACCAGCUGGCUGCAACUGUUUAUUAAAAACACAGCACUGUGCAAACACGAAAGUGGACGUAUACGGUGUGACGCCUGCCCGGUGCCGGAAGGUUAAUUGAUGGGGUCAGCGCAAGCGAAGCUCUUGAUCGAAGCCCCGGUAAACGGCGGCCGUAACUAUAACGGUCCUAAGGUAGCGAAAUUCCUUGUCGGGUAAGUUCCGACCUGCACGAAUGGCGUAAUGAUGGCCAGGCUGUCUCCACCCGAGACUCAGUGAAAUUGAACUCGCUGUGAAGAUGCAGUGUACCCGCGGCAAGACGGAAAGACCCCGUGAACCUUUACUAUAGCUUGACACUGAACAUUGAGCCUUGAUGUGUAGGAUAGGUGGGAGGCUUUGAAGUGUGGACGCCAGUCUGCAUGGAGCCGACCUUGAAAUACCACCCUUUAAUGUUUGAUGUUCUAACGUUGACCCGUAAUCCGGGUUGCGGACAGUGUCUGGUGGGUAGUUUGACUGGGGCGGUCUCCUCCUAAAGAGUAACGGAGGAGCACGAAGGUUGGCUAAUCCUGGUCGGACAUCAGGAGGUUAGUGCAAUGGCAUAAGCCAGCUUGACUGCGAGCGUGACGGCGCGAGCAGGUGCGAAAGCAGGUCAUAGUGAUCCGGUGGUUCUGAAUGGAAGGGCCAUCGCUCAACGGAUAAAAGGUACUCCGGGGAUAACAGGCUGAUACCGCCCAAGAGUUCAUAUCGACGGCGGUGUUUGGCACCUCGAUGUCGGCUCAUCACAUCCUGGGGCUGAAGUAGGUCCCAAGGGUAUGGCUGUUCGCCAUUUAAAGUGGUACGCGAGCUGGGUUUAGAACGUCGUGAGACAGUUCGGUCCCUAUCUGCCGUGGGCGCUGGAGAACUGAGGGGGGCUGCUCCUAGUACGAGAGGACCGGAGUGGACGCAUCACUGGUGUUCGGGUUGUCAUGCCAAUGGCACUGCCCGGUAGCUAAAUGCGGAAGAGAUAAGUGCUGAAAGCAUCUAAGCACGAAACUUGCC
RNAcentral lists this ribosomal RNA (1816 nucleotides) under Escherichia coli. Its description in RNAcentral is "partial 23S ribosomal RNA". It matches the Rfam family "Bacterial large subunit ribosomal RNA", at positions 998 to 2798 of the family's 2925-position model. The record is from RNAcentral. Lineage: Bacteria; Pseudomonadati; Pseudomonadota; Gammaproteobacteria; Enterobacterales; Enterobacteriaceae.